GCCUACAGCCAUACCACCCUGAACAUGCCCAAUCUUGUCUGAUAUCAGAAGCUAAGCAGGGUGGGCCUGGUUAGUACUGGGAAGGGAAAAAAAAAUGUAAAAUAGGGCCAGGGAUUUAGCUC
RNAcentral lists this ribosomal RNA (122 nucleotides) under Fukomys damarensis (Damara mole-rat). Lineage: Eukaryota; Metazoa; Chordata; Mammalia; Rodentia; Bathyergidae. The record is from RNAcentral.